GACGGAGGGGGCAAGCGUUGUUCGGAAUUACUGGGCGUAAAGCGCGCGUAGGCGGCUUUGCAAGUCGGGUGUGAAAUCCCCAGGCUUAACCUGGGAACUGCAUUCGAGACUGCAUUGCUAGAGUAUGGGAGAGGGAAGUGGAAUUUCCGGUGUAGCGGUGAAAUGCGUAGAUAUCGGAAGGAACAUCAGUGGCGAAAGCGGCCUGCUGGGCUGUUGCUGACGCUGAGGCGCGACAGCGUGGGGAGCAAACAGG
RNAcentral lists this ribosomal RNA (253 nucleotides) under uncultured bacterium. RNAcentral describes it as "partial 16S ribosomal RNA". It matches the Rfam family "Bacterial small subunit ribosomal RNA", at positions 524 to 776 of the family's 1533-position model. The record is from RNAcentral.